CUGCGGAAGGAUCAUUAUCGUACAAAAUGUGUGAGGCAUGCAAGGGCUGUCGCUGCUGCGGCUGUAAUGGCCCCAAGUUGGGAAUGCGAGGUGGCGUUUCCACAACGGAAUCACGUGCUUGUGCGCUGAGUUCAAGACCGUCCCCUCCGGAAAACUUUGGUGUCCAUCACCCCUCGCAGCGUAAGCUGUGGCCGGAUUUGGAGUAAUUGGUCCUUGACUAGCCAGGGAAGUAAUUCCGCAGCUAGCAGGACUCACCGAGUUAGUCUUAGGAGAUCAGGGUGUGUCAUCUGUCGCGUGGGUGCGCCGUGCCCCUUGUAAACCUUUUCUUUGGUCGCUUGACCUGACGUGCACGCCAGAGUGUGUCCUCUCACAUGAAAUCCAACUCACCCCUUUGUGCACCACCGCGUGGGCAACCCUUUGGGAUCAAACUGAUCCAGGAGGGGGCUUGCGUUUUCACACAAACCCCUAUCUAAAAGUGUAUAGAAUGACCCCCAUUUUUGCGAUAACACGCAAUAAAUACAACUUUCAACAACGGAUCUCUUGGCUCUCGCAUCGAUGAAGAACGCAGCGAAAUGCGAUACGUAAUGUGAAUWGCAGAAWUCAGUGAAUCAUCGAAUCUUWGAACGCACCUUGCGCCCCUUGGUAUUCCGAGGGGCACACCCGUUUGAGUGUCGUGAAAAUCUCAMCCUCCUKGGUUUCUUCUGGACACCGAAGGAGGCYUGGACYUUGGAGGCCUUUGCUGGCAUCUCUUGCCAGCUCCUCUCAAAUGAAUUAGCAGGGUCCUCUUUGCCGAUCCUCGACAUGUGAUAAGAUGUUUCCAUGUCUUGGUUUAUGGCUCUGUUGCCUUUGGGACCUGCUUCUAACCGUCUCAACGACAACGUUUGAGCGUGUCUCCCUCCUCGGGAAACCAUCUCAAACCCACAAACCCUUGACCUCAAAUCGGGUGAGACUACCCGCUGAACUUAAGCAUAUCAAUAAGCGGAGGAAA
Molecule: small RNA, 988 nt
Filed under: uncultured fungus
Lineage: Eukaryota; Fungi
Description: eukaryotic LSU rRNA
Rfam family: 5.8S ribosomal RNA (bases 521-674)
Source: RNAcentral